CCUACGGGGGGCUGCAGUGGGGAAUAUUGGACAAUGGGGGGAACCCUGAUCCAGCCAUGCCGCGUGUGUGAAGAAGGCCCUCGGGUGGUAAAGCACUUUCAGUGAGGAAGAACGCCUGGUGGUUAAUACCCAUCAGGAAAGACAUCACUCACAGAAGAAGCACCGGCUAACUCCGUGCCAGCAGCCGCGGUAAUACGGAGGGUGCGAGCGUUAAUCGGAAUUACUGGGCGUAAAGCGCGCGUAGGUGGCUUGAUAAGCCGGUUGUGAAAGCCCCGGGCUCAACCUGGGAACGGCAUCCGGAACUGUCAAGCUAGAGUGCAGGAGAGGAAGGUAGAACUCCCGGUGUAGCGGUGAAAUGCGUAGAGAUCGGGAGGAAUACCAGUGGCGAAGGCGGCCUUCUGGACUGACACUGACACUGAGGUGCGAAAGCGUGGGUAGCAAACAGGAUUAGAUACCCCAGUAGUC
RNAcentral lists this ribosomal RNA (465 nucleotides) under Vreelandella stevensii. RNAcentral describes it as "partial 16S ribosomal RNA". It matches the Rfam family "Bacterial small subunit ribosomal RNA", at positions 338 to 795 of the family's 1533-position model. The record is from RNAcentral. Lineage: Bacteria; Pseudomonadati; Pseudomonadota; Gammaproteobacteria; Oceanospirillales; Halomonadaceae.